GAUGUGUUGACGGUAAAUACGGACCUCAGUGUCAACAUCACUGUUCAGAUAACUGUAUCACCUGUGAUGAAGAUGAAGGAAACUGUUCAGGGAAAGAGGUUAAGCAAUUCGAAGGUGAAGGCAGUAAUGUGGCUGUAUACGCUGGAGCAGUUGGUGGUGGUAUUGGUGGUAUUGUCCUCGUCGUUUUUAUAGUGUAUAUUGUCAGAAGAAGAUUGGCCUCAUCUAGAGAGGAUACAUCGGUGCCAUUCAUAAAAUAUGAAAUACAACAUUCUUCAAAUCGGGAAAACAACCG
Molecule: long non-coding RNA, 292 nt
Organism: Mizuhopecten yessoensis (Yesso scallop)
Lineage: Eukaryota; Metazoa; Mollusca; Bivalvia; Pectinida; Pectinidae
Exons: 3
Source: RefSeq, a predicted model, not a curated record